GGAUUAGAAACCCGGGUAGUCCACGCCCUAAACGAUGGAUACUAGCCGUCGGAGGUAUCGACCCCUCCGGUGGCGCAGCUAACGCAUUAAGUAUCCCGCCUGGGGAGUACGGCCGCAAGGUUGAAACUCAAAUGAAUUGACGGGGACCCGCACAAGCGGUGGAGCAUGUGGAUUAAUUCGAUACUAACCGAAGAACCUUACCCACUCUUGACAUUGAAGGAAAGCUCUAGAGAUAGAGCCCUCUCUCACAAGGAGACCUGAAAACAGAUGUUGCAUGGCUGUCGUCAGCUCGUGCCGUGAGGUGUACGGUUAAGUCCGCCAACGAGCGCAACCCUCGUUCUGUGUUACCAGCACGUAAUGGUGGGCACUCACAGGAGACCGCCGGUGUAAGCCG
RNAcentral lists this ribosomal RNA (394 nucleotides) under uncultured bacterium. Its description in RNAcentral is "bacterial SSU rRNA". It matches the Rfam family "Bacterial small subunit ribosomal RNA", at positions 775 to 1165 of the family's 1533-position model. The record is from RNAcentral.